This 486-nucleotide ribosomal RNA is filed under the name uncultured bacterium. Its description in RNAcentral is "partial 16S ribosomal RNA". It matches the Rfam family "Bacterial small subunit ribosomal RNA", at positions 30 to 507 of the family's 1533-position model. The record is from RNAcentral.
AUUGAACGCUGGCGGCAUGCCUUACACAUGCAAGUCGAACGGCAGCACGGGUGCUUGCCCCUGGUGGCGAGUGGCGAACGGGUGAGUAAUACAUCGGAACAUGUCCUGUAGUGGGGGAUAGCCCGGCGAAAGCUGGAUUAAUACCGCAUACGAUCUACGGAUGAAAGCGGGGGACCUUCGGGCCUCGCGCUAUAGGGUUGGCCGAUGGCUGAUUAGCUAGUUGGUGGGGUAAAGGCCUACCAAGGCGACGAUCAGUAGCUGGUCUGAGAGGACGACCAGCCACACUGGGACUGAGACACGGCCCAGACUCCUACGGGAGGCAGCAGUGGGGAAUUUUGGACAAUGGGCGAAAGCCUGAUCCAGCAAUGCCGCGUGUGUGAAGAAGGCCUUCGGGUUGUAAAGCACUUUUGUCCGGAAAGAAAUCCUUGGCCCUAAUACGGUCGGGGGAUGACGGUACCGGAAGAAUAAGCACCGGCUAACUACGUG